Phragmites australis (common reed) is the source of this 1502-nucleotide long non-coding RNA. RefSeq lists it as uncharacterized. The record is from RefSeq and is a predicted model, not a curated record. Lineage: Eukaryota; Viridiplantae; Streptophyta; Magnoliopsida; Poales; Poaceae. The transcript has 6 exons.
UGGUAUUCGUUUAAAAAUACCCUCGAAUCGUAACUUGAAAUCAUCGGUCCAAGUUAGGUUCAUGUAAACCGUUGGAUUUGGUCUCCGCGGACCAGAUCGGAUCCUCCGCCUCCCCUUGCCCAGAACACGCCGUAGAUUAUAGAGGAGGUGAUCCAAUGGCGGGCGGGCGGCGGCGGCGACCGGCGGCGAGGGUUUGGCGUCGCUGCUCCGUCCUUGCACCGCCUCUCUCGUCUCGACCUCCUCGGAACGGAGACCGGAAGCGCUACCACUUUCCACGGGCGUUGCCUCCCUCGCCCUCAGCGCUGGUAGCAGAAGCAGCAGCGGCAUGCAUCGACUUAGUCUUCUCAAGGUUUGUAUUGAUCUUUGCGUUAUCCUCACAGCAAGUCAGGAACUGCUGCUGAUAGCUUUGCCAUCUUUGCAUUCAUCAUGUGAGAGGGUGCGGCUUGGUUUUCUCCUUUAAGCUGGAGCAUGGCAGUUGCAGAAACUGGAUGGACCACUCGAGGGCGGGGUUUUUUUUGGAAGCUUCAGAGAUGGCAAGAAUCCAGCUCUCUCGUGGCUGUACGUGUGCAGAAGCACUGUAGGUCUACUUUCUCUGAGCUGCCAUGCACCCGUGGGAAUUCUGGGAAAAACUAGGCCGAAAGGAUGGGGCUCUGCACGGCUUUUGACGUAGAUAACCCUGGUCGUAAUAUCUUGGUUCCAGGAUUAUUAUGAUGCUAAUUGUUAAUUAUUGGCUGGUUCAGAGUUCAGACGGAUAUGCCACUUCUGGUAAGACGGUCCUGCCAUCUGAGCAGAUGAUCAUUGAAAAUGGAUGUCACGUGAUUGGCCCAAAGAUUCCAGCGUUGCUGUCAAAACUAAAAAAGGCACGCCCCUAGUGACCCCAAGUACCUGCGGAACAAGAGUCCUCCAAUAUAUCUGAGACUAAUAGCUUCGCUCCAAGUAGCCUCCUGACAUUUGUACCAGUUAAGACCCGAGAAUCAGGGAGUCAGGGACACAAAAUCCAGCAGGCGAAAGAGGCAAAGACCAAUCUCCUCGAGCCUCCAGUUACCCUCCUCUCUCCCAGAGUCCCAGGGCCAGGGAUAGUACCAAAGCAUAUCAAAAGAAAGGAACAGCGAAAAACAAACAAAUUGGGGGCCGUAUCAUAUCGGUGCUGAAGCAUACAGUCACACACGCCGAAAAACACAAGAAAAACGUCUUGGAAGGGAGAAAAGCCGAGUCUCUGUGAAGUGUGAACAGCAACAGCCCGCCAGCCCCUCCUCCUGCCUUUAUCUUUUCCCAAACUGCUCUUCCUUUCUUUCUGCUGCCUGAGUGGUCAAUGGGAGGGAGGGAUCAAAGGUGCACACAUUGCAGUAGUAGUACACUGCUGCACACAAUAUCCUUUUAAGAGGUGAACCUCCGGAGUCCAGAAUACUAUAAAUGAUAUCUCAAACUAGUGUAAUAUGCAUUGCUGUAACCUUUAUUAUACUUCUUUUGGGGCGAAGUACAUUUAUCAUAUUUUAAAGUUU